This 462-nucleotide ribosomal RNA is filed under the name Bacillus pumilus. Its description in RNAcentral is "bacterial SSU rRNA". It matches the Rfam family "Bacterial small subunit ribosomal RNA", at positions 21 to 470 of the family's 1533-position model. The record is from RNAcentral. Lineage: Bacteria; Bacillati; Bacillota; Bacilli; Caryophanales; Bacillaceae.
UGCUCAGGACGAACGCUGGCGGCGUGCCUAAUACAUGCAAGUCGAGCGAACAGAAGGGAGCUUGCUCCCGGAUGUUAGCGGCGGACGGGUGAGUAACACGUGGGUAACCUGCCUGUAAGACUGGGAUAACUCCGGGAAACCGGAGCUAAUACCGGAUAGUUCCUUGAACCGCAUGGUUCAAGGAUGAAAGACGGUUUCGGCUGUCACUUACAGAUGGACCCGCGGCGCAUUAGCUAGUUGGUGGGGUAAUGGCUCACCAAGGCAACGAUGCGUAGCCGACCUGAGAGGGUGAUCGGCCACACUGGGACUGAGACACGGCCCAGACUCCUACGGGAGGCAGCAGUAGGGAAUCUUCCGCAAUGGACGAAAGUCUGACGGAGCAACGCCGCGUGAGUGAUGAAGGUUUUCGGAUCGUAAAGCUCUGUUGUUAGGGAAGAACAAGUGCGAGAGAACUGUCGCACC